RNAcentral lists this ribosomal RNA (365 nucleotides) under Leptomona erythrocephala. RNAcentral's name for it is "partial 16S ribosomal RNA". The record is from RNAcentral. Lineage: Eukaryota; Metazoa; Arthropoda; Insecta; Coleoptera; Chrysomelidae.
UUGAAUGGCCGCGGUAUUUUGACCGUGCUAAGGUAGCAUAAUCAUUAGUUUUUUAAUUGAAAGCUGGAAUGAAGGGUUGGAUGAAAAAAUAGCUGUCUCUAUUAAAAUAUAAUAGAAUUUUAUUUUUAAGUUAAAAAGCUUAAAUAUUAUUAAAAGACGAGAAGACCCUAUAGAGUUUUAUAAUUAAUUAUAUUAUUUUUUUAGAAUUUAUUUUUUAAUAAAAAUUAAUUUUUUAAUUGGGGUGAUUAAAAAAUUUAAUGAACUUUUUUUAUAUUUUUAUAUUAAUUUAUAAAUUAUUGAUCCAGAGUUUUUGAUUAUAAGAUAAAAUUACCUUAGGGAUAACAGCGUAAUUUUAUUAGAGAGUU